Molecule: long non-coding RNA, 6173 nt
Organism: Marmota monax (woodchuck)
Lineage: Eukaryota; Metazoa; Chordata; Mammalia; Rodentia; Sciuridae
Exons: 3
Source: RefSeq, a predicted model, not a curated record
UCCACCCAUCCAUCCACUCACCCAUUCACACAUCCAUCCAUCCACUCACCCACACACAUCUACCCAUCCACCCCACCCAUCUAGACAUCCACCACCCAUCCAUGUCUCCCUCCAUUCAUCCGUCCAUUCAGCUACCCACUGGUCCUUCCUUUCCUUUUUCCUUACUCCCUCUCUACCUCAUUUCCUCCUCAUUUUCAAUCAUUCAUAAUUUGUUGAGUGCCAACAUGUGCACCUUGUGCUAAGUAAGCUCUGUGACCCUGGUUAAGUUACUGUGCCUCCUUGAACUUGGGUUUUCACAUAUGUAAGUUGAGCAACAAUGAUAUCUCAACUUCACAGAGUUGUUGGGAAGAUUAAAUGAAAUAACUCGCAGGUGAAAUACCUAGUCCACAGUAGAUGCUCUGUAGUGGUGAUUAUCAGGUCUGAGAUUUAGAAGACACCUAAUCUUCUGGAAGCUUUGAUUUUGUUAGGGAGUCUUGGUAUAGGUAGGUAAAGUAGUUGGGGAGGCUUUUUUAAAAAAAAUAAUUUUUAGUUGUGAUGGAUAUAAUACCUUUUUUAAAAUUUAUUUAUUUUUAUGUGGUGCUGAGGAUGGAACCCAGUGCCUCACACGUGCUAGGUAAGUGCUCUACCACUGAGCCCCAGCCCAGCCCAGUUGGAGAGUUUUAACAAGCACACAAUACCCAAAGGCCACUGACAGCGCCUGUGUGCUAACUCUAGGCCUAGGGCUGAGGCAGUGCAAAGUGAGGGUGGGUGAGCAGCUGGGAGAGCUCCUCCCUAGCCAGACUUUCAGGAUUUGGUGUUGCUAAGAGAGAUAAUCAGUCAGAGGACAAAGUCCCAUACCUCCUUCUUCUUUUUUUUUUUUUUUGGUGGUGCUGAGGAUGGAACCCAGGACCUUAUGCAUGCUAGACAGACACCCUACCACUGAUCUAUGCCUCCAGUCCCCCAAGGUGCCAUGUCUUGGUUUUACUUGCAUUUCCAACCCAUCAGCCAUGGCACCUGCCUUUCCCCACAGCCCCCCAAUCAGCAAGAAGCCAUUAGUUAUUACUAAAUUCAGCUAAUGCAGUUAGUCCAGGAGUAACUGUGAAUCUUGACAGAGGUUACUAGAUUCCUUGUAGGGGAGGGUUAAAGGAUUCUGACCUAGUCAAUGAUUAUUAAGUAUUCGUUACUUGCCAAAGGUUAUUAGUUAAUAUAUGCUGGAUUCUUCAUAUUCCUCUGAGGAGGGAUUUUUACAUCCAUUUUCAGAGGAAGAGACUGAGGGUCAGACAGGAGGAAUGGCUUUGCUGUAUAGCUAGUAGCUGUAGAGCCAGGGUUCCAACUCAGGUGCUCUAUUCAUUGCUUUCCCCUCUUUGUCCUCUGUUUUCUCUCAUACUCUCUCCAGGAAAUUUAACACCCCAGGGAAGGAGUGUGAGGAAGCUGUCCAAGACACAGGACCCACAAAAGACGGCUAAGAAGUGCCCUGGAUUCCUGCUUCAUAACAACAUACUGCAAACAGCUCCUGUUGCAUUCAUAGUAAUAGUGACCGCCUCAUAUGCACCAGAUUAUUUAUGCAUGUGGGUGUCCGGGUUAUUCAUUUUCCCUAUUUGACUUGAUGUAUUCAUGUACUUUUGUAUUCAUUUAUUUUGGGGGUACUCAGGAUUGAGCCUGGGGCCCUCUACCACUGAACUAUAUCCUCAGCCCUUUUUAUUUUGAGACAGGGUUCUGCAGAGUUGCCCAGGCUGGCCUCAAGCUUGGGAUCCUCCUGCCUCAGCCUCCUGAGUUGGUGGGAUGACAGGUGUGCCCCACCACAGCCAGCUCUUUUUUUUCUAUUUUCAAUAUGUACAGGAGCGGUAGGCUGGUGGCAGUGUCUGAGGGUCCCCUGGAACCCUGAGACCCAGAAGUUUUUAUGGUGUCUAUGUGACAAAUGAGAAGGCUGGUUCCAGAAUGGGGAAGUGACUUGUCCAAAGUCCUAGCUUUGAGCCCAGGCCCAUGGACCGUGGCCUACCCCCACCCCAGUCAGAGGGAGAAUCCGGGUCAGGAGCCUCCCUCCACGUCCAGUUGCCAAGUGCCAGUCCACAGUCGGGCUUGGUUUGGUCCACUGUGUUUUUUUUUAAAAAGCUUUGAAAAAUCAGAUUUUAUGUUGCUGUGACUUGAAUGUAUGAUCAAAAAUUCAUGUGCUGGGAACUCUGUACCCGUGUGGGGGUGCAGAGGCUUUGGCAGAGUCCUUGUGAAUGGGUUAACUUGGGGAUUAUUGUGGUUGUGGCUUUAUUAUAAAAGCGCUCUCUCUCUCUCUGGACCCCUGGGCCCCAUGUUCCUGCAAUGCUUUCCACCAUGUUUGACGCAGCGCGAUGCCCACACUGGAGCCUGGCUCUGGACUUCAGCCUCUAGAACCACACAUUAGACAAACCUCUCUUCUUUGCAAGUUCCUGAGUCUGUGUCAUCCAGUUGUAGCAACAGGAGACAGACUAGGUCACCAGUUAGACCCAGACUCCAGCUUCUCUUGACAAGAACUGGGCGGCCGGUCAGGCAGCCCGUGGUGGACAGGUUCCUGGGGCUUUGGAAACAUUAUGCAACUGUUAACUGUUGUUAUCAUGGUUUCCUGGUUGUAGGUAUGGUCACAGGCUGCAUUGAGACCAGGAUGGAGCCAGAACAGGAGUUCAUGCCUGAAGGGGCGAGGGAGCAGGGGGGAGGGGGAGCGCUCCCAGGGCCACCUAGAGGGCACCUGAAAAGAGUGACACCCUCAGGAAGUGCCCCAGGUAGGCUCUUCAGGAGGGAUUCCCGAGGGAGGGAGGGAGGUAUGACAGUCAGGAGAGCAUGUGCCAUGUGCCCUGUGUGUUGGUGCCUCUGAGACCUUCCCAUGGGACGUAGUGUGGAGCAGGAGGUGGCGAGAUCCGUGAUCCUGAAGCUGUAGAGGCCCGGGCUGGCAUGUGUUUGCAUUCCUAGUUUUUAACAAAAAAGUUUAACAAAUAAAGAAAACCAUUUGUUUUAAAGUUAAAAAAAAAAAAGCUUAUUGACAGGAGGCAUCACAAUACCAGCCCUUAAAUUACACUACAGAGCUCUAGUAAAAAAAACAGUGUGGUAUUCAGCACAAAAAUACACGUGAAGACCAGCGGUACAGAACAGAAGACCCAGAGACAAACCCACAUACACAGUUAUCUCAUCCUAGACAAAGGAACCAUAAACAUGCACUGGAGCAAAGACGGCCUCUUCAACAAAUGGUGCUGGGAAAACUGGAAAUCCAUAUGUAGCAAAAUGGAAUUAAACCCCUAUCUCUCACCAUGCACAAAACUAAACUUAAAAGUGGAUCAAGGACCUAGGCAUUAGACUAGAGACCCAACAAAUAGAUGAGAAAAUGUCCAACAUCCUCUAGUAGUUAAAAGCAAAUUAAAUCUUCACUGAGAUUUCAUUUCACUCCAGUCAGAAUAACAAUUAUCAAGAAUACAAGAAACAGUCAAUGUUGGCGAGGAUGUGGGAGAAAAUCAAACUUCUUGCUGGUGGGACUGCAAAUUGGUACAACCACUCUGGAAAGCAGUAUGGAGAUUCCUCAGAAACCUUGGAAUGGAACCACCAUUGGACCCAGUUAUCCCACUCUGUGGCAUAUACCCAAUGGAUUUAAAAUCAGUAUAGUAGAGUGACACAUCCAUAUCAAUGUUUAUAGCAGCUCAAUUCACUAUAGCUAAGCUAUAGAACCAACUUAGGUGCCUUUCAACAGGCGAAUAGAGAAAGAAAACGUACUAUAUAUACACAAUGGAAUAUUAUUUGGCCAUAAAGAAGAAUGAAAUUAUGGCAUUCGCUGAAAUGAAUGGAACUAGAGAAUAUUAUACUAAGUGAAAUAAGCCAAUCCUGGAAAACCAAAGGCCAAAUGUUCUUUCUGAUAUGCAGAUGCCAACACACAAUAAGGGGGUAGGAGGGGAGAAGAGAAGUUCUUUAGAAUGAAGGGAAGGAGGGGUGGGAAUGGGAAAGACAGUAGAAUGAACUGGACAUCACUUUCCUGUGUUCACAUAUGAAUGCACAACAAGUGUAACUCCAAAUUAUGUUCAAAGAAUGGGAAGAUCUACAUCAUGUAUAUAGGCUAUUCCAAAAUACACUCUACUGUUAUGCAUAUCUAAAAAGAACAAAUUAAAAGAAAAAGAAACUGUCCCUACUUAUAACCAGCUUUAAAAAAAAAGCUUAUUGAAUAUGGCUAUUGGGGAAGAACAGAAUACGUACAACUGUGCAGUUUGUGUCUGAAGCUAAGUGUUGUUAAAAAAUAAGUCAAAAAUUUAAAGUUAAAAAGCAAAAUGGUUACGGCAGCUAACAUUAAUUUGGAUGACUUUCCCAUAGACUGUGGACAGUGUUGACAGUCUGCCCCUGUCCUGGGCCUUCGCUGCUUGGCACUGUCACUCACCCAGAGUGACUGCCAGGCCUGCAGGCUCUGUUCAUGGCAGGGUCCUCCCUCAGCAGGUGCACCACUUAAGACCCUUUGUGUUGUAUUUCUGCUGUACCUGUUCUGUGUUUAGAGAUGUUUAGACACAGAUCCUCCCCAGGUCUCCCAGUGGCCUCUAGAUUCAGCAUUGCUGUGCCCAAGAGGAGCGCAGGUGAGCCCCGCCUGCCACCUGGUGUGGACAGGGACAGCUCGCCCUGGGGUUGGUGCAAGGAAGCAGUCACUGAGACCUGGUCGGUCGGCUGGCUUCUUGGAAUGCAUGUGCUUCUUGGAAUGUAUGCACAUGGCUAAGUGACAGACUGUAUUUGCAUCUUCUGUCUGUUGUUUGUCCCUUAGGGUGACAAAAGCUUUUCUUUCUGGAACAGCCAAACUCUCCAUCUGGCCUGGUAGGCAGAGGAGUCUGCAGAGGCUUGUCGUGCACAUGUGCGUGUUGGACCGAGAAGCACAGCUGGCAGAGGAAAACCCCUCAGAGCAGGCCACCCCCGCCACGGUGGCAGUGCCUUUGGGGCUGCCUCUGCAGACCUUGAGCCUGCUCUGACCUGGGCAACUGCUGGGCAGCAGGCCUCUCAGUGUCCCCAGCACCCUGGCCUGUCACACGAGCCGGCUCCCCCUGCUCAGCAGCAGACACCUUCAGACCAGAGUGGGGUCACUAAGGAAGGCGUUAUCUUGUCCCAGUUCCCCUCCUGGGCUGCCUGACCCUGCUCUGGACAGCAUAAAAAGUCAGCUCAAUGACGCAGGCAGACUUUAAAGCCUGUUCCGGAUGGCAGCUGGGCUCUGAGCUGUCAAUCAGAGGUGAGCCAGCACACUCGGGCUGCCUGCCAGGGCUCUGCCCAGAGAGGGCAGGGCACCGAAGCUGUGCAGAGCUCCUGCCCAGCUUUCUCUAUUUAUAAUUUCCCCUGAUAAUGGGGCCAUUCAUUCCGGCUGCAGGCCCCUAAUUGCUCUGCAGUAGAGGGAUGACAGCCUGAUCAUUAACUUCACAGAAUCUGAGCUUGGGCUUUGUCAACAGAGUCCAUCUGCUGUCACCAGGGGCGAUCUUUGCCCUUCAUUGUGGCAAAGGGCAGUUAGAAAAAAAAAAAAAAAGAAAACCUUGGCUUGGUUCCAGGUCCAGUAGAUUUUUAUUAUUUUCUGGCCUCAAACUAUCUGCAGAGGGGACAAAAUGCUCUCUCCCCUGUGCUAGAAGCUGUGGUCAGCUGGUCACUGUGCCCCUGGCUGAAGGUGUCAGUUUGGUCCCUGGAGAUCGGGGAUGUGAGUGCUAAAAGGGACCUUAGGGACAUUUUGGUUGGGAUUAAUAACUGGGCCCGCUUCAGCCAACAGCUAUUUGGCUAGCAGAAUAUUUCAAAAACUUUUUCUAAAAAAUUGAGGUUAAAAUCGACAUUACAAAAAAAUAACCAUUUAAAAAUUCAAUGACAUUUCAGCCUAUUGACAAUGGGUACCACCGUCACCACCGUCAGCUUCCAAAUAUUUUAAUCACCCAGUAGGCACCUCUGUCCCCAUCACGCACUUGCCCCGCGACCUGCCACCCACAAUCUGCUUUGUCUUUUCUGGGUAUUUCACACAAACGGAGUCUCUCAGCGCGAGUCCUUCUGCGCCGGCUUCCCUCCCUGGGCAGGAUGUUCCGAGGCUCCUUUUCGGAGGAGGCCACAUUUGGAAAGGUUUCGGAUUCCUCUCUGACAGCCGCGUAGAGAUACAGGGCGCGACAGUCACUCAGGGCAGUGCGCAGCUCUGCGGCUUGCGCUGCGAUGUGCAUCAGAGCGCUUUGUGACGGCAAUUAAAUUGA